This 253-nucleotide ribosomal RNA is filed under the name uncultured bacterium. RNAcentral's name for it is "partial 16S ribosomal RNA". It matches the Rfam family "Bacterial small subunit ribosomal RNA", at positions 335 to 587 of the family's 1533-position model. The record is from RNAcentral.
GCCCCUACGGGGCGCAGCAGUGGGGAAUAUUGCACAAUGGGGGAAACCCUGAUGCAGCGACGCCGCGUGAGUGAAGAAGCGUUUCGGCGCGUAAAGCUCUGUCAGCGGGGAAGACACACGGUUCGCAAGAGCCGCGGACGGUACCCGACCAAGAAGCCCCGGCUAACUACGUGCCAGCAGCCGCGGUAAUACGUAGGGGGCAAGCGUUAUCCCGAUUUACUGGGUGUUAAGGGUGCGUAGGUGGCAGGGCAAG